This is a long non-coding RNA of Crotalus tigris (Tiger rattlesnake), 712 nucleotides long. RefSeq lists it as uncharacterized. Lineage: Eukaryota; Metazoa; Chordata; Lepidosauria; Squamata; Viperidae. The record is from RefSeq and is a predicted model, not a curated record. The transcript has 3 exons.
UUGGAACCUUAAUUCCGUUGCGGUGAUACUUGGCGAAUCCCAACCGAAGCGUGAAAGAGGCCUGGUUGAUUGGGAGGAAAAGCGAGGAAGAUCAGCCGGCUGGAUUUAAGGAGCUGAUUGGAGAUGGCGGGGAGCUUCGAGUUGACCUCAGGGAAUGCCAUCCAGCCAGGCUGCUCCACGAGAGAUGCCCACGGUUUCAUGAACAUGUAGCAAAUGAUUGUAGUUGGAAAUAUCAGAAUGCUGCAUCCAGGCAUGUCCAACAGAAACUAAUCCCCUGCUGAGAUAUCGCUGGGCCUUCAAAAGUUGAGAAGAGAAAGGAAGAAAGUCAUGAAAGGAGGAGGAAGAAUAUUCAAACUGCCUCCCCCCCACACACACUUCAAGGAGCAGAAUUGCAGAGGAGGGGAAAUGAGUACACCAAAGGCGUUUGUUUUUUUCCCCAUUUAUGGAGAUGGGACUGUAAAUCAGAAGCGACUGGCAUCCGUCGCUCUCCCUCACGCUGCAAAAGUGAUCUGGACUCCUCCUGAAAAGUGCCUUUAGCUGCCUCCUGUCCCCAGCAAAGGGACUCUUCUGCAAGCUGAUCUCAUGGAACCUAGAAUAAUGGGUUUAGAAGGGACCUUGGAGGUCUUCUAGUCCAACCCCCUGCUCAAGCAGGAGACCCUCUAUCAGAGGUCCCCAACCUUUUGGGCACCAGGGACCAGUUCUAUGGAGAAAG